RNAcentral lists this ribosomal RNA (369 nucleotides) under uncultured bacterium. Its description in RNAcentral is "bacterial SSU rRNA". It matches the Rfam family "Bacterial small subunit ribosomal RNA", at positions 525 to 896 of the family's 1533-position model. The record is from RNAcentral.
ACGGAGGGUGCAAGCGUUAUCCGGAUUCACUGGGUUUAAAGGGAGCGCAGGCGGGCAUGUAAGUCCGUGGUGAAAUACCUCAGCUUAACUGAGGAACUGCCAUGGAUACUAUAUGUCUUGAAUGUUGUGGAGGUUUGCGGAAUAGGUCAUGUAGCGGUGAAAUGCAUAGAUAUGACCUAGAACACCAAUUGCGAAGGCAGCAGGCUACACAAAUAUUGACGCUGAGGCUCGAAAGCGUGGGGAUCAAACAGGAUUAGAUACCCUGGUAGUCCACGCCCUAAACGAUGAUUACUCGACAUACGUGAUACACAAUGUGUGUCUGAGCGAAAGCAUUAAGUAAUCCACCUGGGAAGUACGACCGCAAGGUUG